Molecule: ribosomal RNA, 450 nt
Filed under: uncultured Glomeromycotina
Lineage: Eukaryota; Fungi; Glomeromycota
Description: SSU rRNA
Rfam family: Eukaryotic small subunit ribosomal RNA
Source: RNAcentral
AGCAGCCGCGGUAAUUCCAGCUCCAAUAGCGUAUAUUAAAGUUGUUGCAGUUAAAAAGCUCGUAGUUGAAUUUCGGGAUUGGCGCAUCGGUCGUGCCUCACGGGGUAUGAACUGGUGCAGUCAAUUUCUCACCUUCUGGAGAACCGCGAUGUCCUUAAUUGGAUGCCGCGGGGAACCAGGACCUUUACUUUGAAAAAUUGAGUGUUUAAAGCAGGCAUUUUUGCUUGAAUACAUUAGCAUGGAAUAAUAAAAUAGGACGGCAUGGUUCUAUUUUGUUGGUUUCUAGGACCACCGUAAUGAUUAAUAGGGAUAGUUGGGGGCAUUAGUAUUCAAUUGUCAGAGGUGAAAUUCUUGGAUUUUAUUGAAGACUAACUACUGCGAAAGCAUUUGCCAAGGAUGUUUUCAUUAAUCAAGAACGAAAGUUAGGGGAUCGAAGACGAUCAGAUACCG